UACGAAGGGGGCUAGCGUUGCUCGGAAUUACUGGGCGUAAAGGGCGCGUAGGCGGCGCUGUUAGUCAGGCGUGAAAUUCCUGGGCUUAACCUGGGGACUGCGCUUGAUACGGCAGUGCUAGAGGGUGGAAGAGGGUCGCGGAAUUCCCAGUGUAGAGGUGAAAUUCGUAGAUAUCAAGAGGAACACCUGAGGUGAAGACGGGUUGCUGGGCUGACACUGACGCUGAGGCGCGAAAGCCAGGGGAGCAAACGGG
Molecule: ribosomal RNA, 253 nt
Filed under: uncultured bacterium
Lineage: Bacteria
Description: partial 16S ribosomal RNA
Rfam family: Bacterial small subunit ribosomal RNA
Source: RNAcentral